Molecule: non-coding RNA, 1200 nt
Organism: Leptonychotes weddellii (Weddell seal)
Lineage: Eukaryota; Metazoa; Chordata; Mammalia; Carnivora; Phocidae
Source: RefSeq, a predicted model, not a curated record
CUUAAAAAAAAAAAAAAAUCAACUAUUGAUUUCAAAGGAGGCACCACCACGAAUUUUGGGCCUGUAAGUGGUUGGUGCCCAAAGGACAUUUUAGGAGUGCCUAGAUUAAUCACGAGGGAACCUUAAAUAAAAUAUAAAAUCUGAUCAGCGAUAUUCUAAUACUUACAAAACUUGGGUGUGUAUGACCUUGAGAUCCAUCAUUAUUCUUGUGAAACCAAUUCAUUUGUGUGGAAUUGUAACAACUAUUAGAAUUCUAGCAUCCAUUUAAAAGGGACAUUUGAAGUUAUUCUUAUUUCCACAUUGUAAUAGCAGAGAUUAAAGACUGGAUUGGAAAAAAAAAAAAGUUAAAACUUAGGAAGAUCGCUUUGGCCCUUUGCUGCCCAGCAGGCCCUCCCGGAUCCAGGAUGACAAGGGUGCUCCUGUCAUUCUGCACUAUUUGACUUCCUUCUGUGUUCUUUUGCUGAGUGCUUCCUAACCCCUUGAUGUCUCUUUUGAAAGGUGGGGACCCAAACUGUAUGCAUUGUUCCAGAUGCGUUCUUGCCAAAGCGGUAUAAAGCAAAUGUAACGGUUAGGAAGAAGGCUCCCUCCCUCGCUGGGUCCCUGGCGUCUGACACGCGGCGAGCUGUAGGAUAAGGACAUACCGAGACCUGCCUGAUGUUCCGAAUCCGGAAUCCCAGCGGGAACCAGAUGGACAAGCAUUCCUUCCACUAGGGCUCUUGCUGGUGGUUCUCUUCACUGAGUCUCAGUUUACUGUUGGUUUUCCCUUUCUUGCUAUUCUGUCUCUCUCCAAACCCCUCUUGACUGCCUUUCCUAGGGACAGACCUUAGAAAGGUGGGCCAGGACUUGGGGCUUUCGGCCCUGCUCCCUGCCGCCCCAAGCCGGCAGCCCUUGUACCCUGUCUUCAAGGCACCACCCCCUAAAGAGAUGCCUGAAGGCAUUAGCUUCUGAGAACCCACCUUGUUCUGCAUGACUAGCUUGUAAGGAGGGUUACAGGGAGAGAAUUUCCAAGAAUUUUCCACUUUUUUCAAAAAACGUAUGUGACUUAUUUUUGGCUUUGAACUGAGAGCAAACUUUGUGGCGUACAGCUGUUUACUUGUGCACAUCUGUGGAAUCCAGAGAGCUCCACACAACACUCCCUUUCCUGUCUGGGCUGUUUGUAUAAUUGUAUAUACGUGUAGCAAUAAAUACAUUCUAACAUCA